RNAcentral lists this ribosomal RNA (734 nucleotides) under uncultured archaeon. RNAcentral's name for it is "bacterial SSU rRNA". It matches the Rfam family "Archaeal small subunit ribosomal RNA", at positions 102 to 835 of the family's 1478-position model. The record is from RNAcentral.
GGAUAACCUACCCUUAGGACUGGGAUAACCUUGGGAAACUGAGGAUAAUACCGGAUGGGCAAUUAUUCCUGGAAUGGAUUUUUGUUUAAAUGUUUUUUCGCCUAAGGAUGGGUCUGCGGCCGAUUAGGUAGUUGGUUAGGUAACGGCUUACCAAGCCAUUGAUCGGUACGGGUUGUGAGAGCAAGAGCCCGGAGAUGGAACCUGAGACAAGGUUCCAGGCCCUACGGGGUGCAGCAGGCGCGAAACCUCCGCAAUGUGAGAAAUCGCGACGGGGGGAUCCCAAGUGCCAUUCUUAACGGGAUGGCUUUUCAUUAGUGUAAAGAGCUUUUGGAAUAAGGGCUGGGCAAGACCGGUGCCAGCCGCCGCGGUAACACCGGCAGCUCUAGUGGUAGCAGUUUUUAUUGGGCCUAAAGCGUCCGUAGCCGGUUUAAUAAGUCUCUGGUGAAAUCCUGUAGCUUAACUGUGGGAAUUGCUGGAGAUACUAUUAGACUUGAGACCGGGAGAGGUUAGAGGUACUCCCAGGGUAGAGGUGAAAUUCUGUAAUCCUGGGAGGACCGCCUGUUGCGAAGGCGUCUAACUGGAACGGUUCUGACGGUGAGGGACGAAAGUUAGGGGCGCGAACCGGAUUAGAUACCCGGGUAGUCCUAACUGUAAACGAUGCGGACUUGGUGUUGGGGUGGCUUUGAGCUGCUCCAGUGCCGAAAGGGAAGCUGUUAAGUCCGCCGCCUGGGAAG